This 303-nucleotide ribosomal RNA is filed under the name uncultured bacterium. RNAcentral describes it as "partial 16S ribosomal RNA". It matches the Rfam family "Bacterial small subunit ribosomal RNA", at positions 507 to 808 of the family's 1533-position model. The record is from RNAcentral.
AGCAGUAGCCGCGGUAAUACGUAGGUCCCGAGCGUUGUCCGGAUUUAUUGGGCGUAAAGCGAGCGCAGGCGGUUAGAUAAGUCUGAAGUUAAAGGCUGUGGCUUAACCAUAGUACGCUUUGGAAACUGUUUAACUUGAGUGCAAGAGGGGAGAGUGGAAUUCCAUGUGUAGCGGUGAAAUGCGUAGAUAUAUGGAGGAACACCGGUGGCGAAAGCGGCUCUCUGGCUUGUAACUGACGCUGAGGCUCGAAAGCGUGGGGAGCAAACAGGAUUAGAGACCCGCGUAGUCCCUGUCUCUUAUACA